This 813-nucleotide ribosomal RNA is filed under the name uncultured bacterium. RNAcentral describes it as "bacterial SSU rRNA". It matches the Rfam family "Bacterial small subunit ribosomal RNA", at positions 8 to 796 of the family's 1533-position model. The record is from RNAcentral.
AGAGUUUGAUCCUGGCUCAGGAUGAACGCUGGUGGCGUGCCUAACACAUGCAAGUCGAGCGUGAUUGUUAUGAGUGGCGACUUCGGUCAAAGCGAGUAACAUGAAAGCGGCGGACGGGUGAGUAACGCGUGGGCAACCUGCCCCAUACACGAGGAUAGCCACUGGAAACGGUGAUUAAUACUCGAUAAGACCACACUUCCACAUGGGAGAGCGGCCAAAGAUUUAUCGGUAUGGGAUGGGCCCGCGUCUGAUUAGCUAGUUGGUGAGGUAACGGCUCACCAAGGCGACGAUCGGUAGCUGGUCUGAGAGGACGAUCAGCCACACCGGAACUGAGACACGGUCCGGACUCCUACGGGAGGCAGCAGUGGGGAAUAUUGGACAAUGGGCGCAAGCCUGAUCCAGCAAUUCCGCGUGGGUGAAGAAGGCCUUCGGGUUGUAAAGCCCUUUAAGUUGGGACAAAAAAAUCGGCGAUAACAUCGCCGGUCUUGAUGGUACCGACAGAAUAAGCACCGGCUAACUCUGUGCCAGCAGCCGCGGUAAUACAGAGGGUGCAAGCGUUAAUCGGAUUUACUGGGCGUAAAGCGUGCGCAGGAGGCUCGCUGAGUCGGAUGUGAAAUCCCUGGGCUCAACCCGGGAAUGGCAUUCGAUACUGGCGGGCUCGAGUUCGGUAGAGGGCGGCGGAAUUCCCGGUGUAGCGGUGAAAUGCGUAGAUAUCGGGAGGAACAUCGAUGGCGAAGGCAACCGCCUGGGCCUGAACUGACUCUGAGGCACGAAAGCGUGGGUAGCAAACAGGAUUAGAUACCCUGGUAGUCC